AACGAACGCUGGCGGCAUGCCUAACACAUGCAAGUCGAACGAGACCUUCGGGUCUAGUAGCGCACGGGUGCGUAACGCGUGGGAACCUGCCCUUAGGUUCGGAAUAACUCCCCGAAAGGGGUGCUAAUACCGGAUAAUGUCUUCGGACCAAAGAUUUAUCGCCUUUGGAUGGGCCCGCGUUGGAUUAGCUAGUUGGUAGGGUAAAAGCCUACCAAGGCGACGAUCCAUAGCUGGUCUGAGAGGAUGAUCAGCCACACUGGGACUGAGACACGGCCCAGACUCCUACGGGAGGCAGCAGUGGGGAAUAUUGGACAAUGGGCGAAAGCCUGAUCCAGCAAUGCCGCGUGAGUGAUGUAGGCCUUAGGGUUGUAAAGCUCUUUUACCCGGGAUGAUAAUGACAGUACCGGGAGAAUAAGCUCCGGCUAACUCCGUG
Molecule: ribosomal RNA, 433 nt
Filed under: uncultured bacterium
Lineage: Bacteria
Description: partial 16S ribosomal RNA
Rfam family: Bacterial small subunit ribosomal RNA
Source: RNAcentral